GACGAACGCUGGCGGCGCGCCUAACACAUGCAAGUCGAGCGGAAACGAUGGGAGCUUGCUCCCAGGCGUCGAGCGGCGGACGGGUGAGUAAUACUUAGGAAUCUGCCUAGUAGUGGGGGAUAGCUCGGGGAAACUCGAAUUAAUACCGCAUACGACCUACGGGUGAAAGGGGGCACUUUGUGCUCUCGCUAUUAGACGAGCCCAAGUCGGAUUAGCUAGUUGGUGGGGUAAAGGCCUACCAAGGCGACGAUCUGUAGCUGGUCUGAGAGGAUGAUCAGCCACACCGGGACUGAGACACGGCCCGG
This 305-nucleotide ribosomal RNA is filed under the name uncultured bacterium. RNAcentral describes it as "bacterial SSU rRNA". It matches the Rfam family "Bacterial small subunit ribosomal RNA", at positions 28 to 334 of the family's 1533-position model. The record is from RNAcentral.